Molecule: ribosomal RNA, 466 nt
Filed under: uncultured bacterium
Lineage: Bacteria
Description: partial 16S ribosomal RNA
Rfam family: Bacterial small subunit ribosomal RNA
Source: RNAcentral
GACGAACGCUGGCGGCGUGCUUAACACAUGCAAGUCGAACGGAAAGGCCUCUUUCGGGGGGUACUCGAGUGGCGAACGGGUGAGUAACACGUGAGUAACCUGCCCUUGACUUUGGGAUAACUUCAGGAAACUGGGGCUAAUACCGGAUAGGAGCUCCUGCUGCAUGGUGGGGGUUGGAAAGUUUCGGCGGUUGGGGAUGGACUCGCGGCUUAUCCGCUUGUUGGUGGGGUAGUGGCUUACCAAGGCCUUGCCGGGUAGCCGGCCUGAGAGGGUGACCGGCCACAUUGGGACUGAGAUACGGACCAGACUCCUACGGGAGGCAGUAGUGGGGAAUCUUGCACAAUGGGUGGAAGCCUGAUGCAGCAACGCCGUGUGCGGGAUGACGGCCUUCGGGUUGUAAACCGCUUUCGCUCAUGACGAAGCUUUGUGUGACGGUAGUGGGUAAAGAAGCACCGGCUAACUACGU